Molecule: long non-coding RNA, 911 nt
Organism: Homo sapiens (human)
Lineage: Eukaryota; Metazoa; Chordata; Mammalia; Primates; Hominidae
Product: long intergenic non-protein coding RNA 2796
Source: Ensembl
GAAAUCUCAGAUGGUUGUCUACAGUUACAAGGGGGAUUUUUGGACUGAUUUGUGAUUUUUCUGGGAAUGCAACUCAAGUUAGAAGAGGCCAUUAUCUGAAAGAAGAAGAAGCACCAGCUGAUGUGUUGGUUAUUUUAGGGCGACAUUUGCAGUUGCUUGGGCAAUAUCAUGAGCCUCACCUCAUGCAGGUCUGGGUCCCAGACCCAAAGACUGCUCCUCCAUACUCAGAGAUACCAGCACUAACAGAGCAGCUCCUCUUCUUCAGUACAGAUGCUUCUCAACUUACAAUGAGGUUAUACCCUUAUAAACACAUGGCUGUAGGUAUACCACAAAGUGAUGGCAUCCACGGCCGUAUGGAUUGGCUGCUGAGAAGACACCACUGCAGUGGGGGAGGCACAACCUGGGCUGUGCACUCUGCGGAGCCCACAGGAGCUGGAAACAGAAACACUACUUGCUGCUGCUAGGUCAGAAACAGAAAACUGAUGGGAUCUUGCCAUGUUGUUCAGGCUGGCCUUGAAUUACUGGACUCGAGUGAUCCUCCAACCUCGGCCUCCUGAGUACAUAUUCCCUGGUCUAUAGAUGAAGAAAUGAAGGUUCAAGAAUACUGGACAUCUGGACUAAUUAAAUGACAACUAAAUGGCAGAAAUGGUAUUUAAGCUCAGGCCUAGCAGAUGCAAAGUCAUGGGCACAUGUCAAGUAUGUAAUAUUGUAUAGCCUAUUAACUCAUCAAUUUAGUCUUUAGAAGGCUGAAUUUCUAAUAUGUAUCAGGAAUAACAUAAAAGGUUGAGAGGAAAACCAUAAAAAGACAAGAUCCAUAUGCAAGUUUAAUUAAUUCAAUAGAAUUUUAAUUAUUUGCCAUGUACUAGUAGUUGUGUGAGACACUACUGACAAAUAAAAAGAUAAGUUAAAAA